This 253-nucleotide ribosomal RNA is filed under the name uncultured bacterium. RNAcentral's name for it is "partial 16S ribosomal RNA". It matches the Rfam family "Bacterial small subunit ribosomal RNA", at positions 524 to 776 of the family's 1533-position model. The record is from RNAcentral.
UACAGAGGUCUCAAGCGUUGUUCGGAAUUAUUGGGCGUAAAGGGCGCGUAGGCGGUGCGGUAAGUCACCUGUGAAACCUCUAGGCUUAACCUAGAGCCUGCAGGCGAAACUGCCGUGCUUGAGGGUGGGAGAGGUGCGUGGAAUUCCCGGUGUAGCGGUGAAAUGCGCAGAUAUCAGGAGGAACACCAAUAGCGAAGGCAGCUCGCUGGGACGUUACUGACGCUGAGACGCGAAAGCGUGGGGAGCAAACAGG